GUGUGAAUGAAAACUAAGGUUUCAGUUUUUAUUCAGGAAAGGAGAAUGAAAUCCCUCUUAAUUAGAGGAAACAAAGUGGAUCAAAGUGGGAAACUUGGGGGAAGCAGUCGCUCACAUCUGCCAGUCCAGAUUUUCCCAGAACGGAACAAGAGGGGGAGUAGGAAUGCAAUCAUCAUGUGAAAAACCAGUAAGCUGCAGGAAGAAUGAGAAAAGGCCUCUGCUAGCGAUUAGUGUGGGCUUGCAAUGAACUAAAGCUGGCCAGGUGACUGAAUCAAAACCAGAGUCUAAGCUUCAGGGUGUGCUGAGGGUUGGGCUUCCCCUUGGUGACCGGCUGCCACAACAACCACACGAGGAGGCGGAGAGACCUGUUCCCAUGGCUAUGACCUACUGAGAUGCUCAAACUGCACUUUGUAUUAAAUGUAAGAGGAGAAAUUACAUCAGCACACAGCAGCAGGAAUGGGCUCUGUCUUUGCAACAACGCCUCCUCGUCCCUGCACCUGUUCAGUCUCGCCCGUACAAAUCUGUUCAACACACUGCAACAUCACAGGAAUCGAGACAACAAACUGAUUUUCUCUUAUCAGCUGCUGGGCCUUUACAAUGGGUUUCUGGACGACUGCGUGCCUGUCUGUAAAUCCACAGCUGGCGUUCCCCAGGCGUCUUUUACACCAGGCACACGGCACCCACAGCCCUGCCUUGUUUAGGAGGAAACAAAUGGCAAAUGAAAAGACAUUAAGUUCCACAUGUUACGCACAGGUGUCAGUGUAAUAACGUGUGUCAGAGAGAAAAGGAGAGAUCAGCAGAGCAUUUUGUUUACUCUUCUUUAAUCUCUGUCAGAGAGGACUGCUGGGAAUGCUGGGUAACACUCACUGGUAACCUAUGAUGUUCCCUGUGGAGAACAUUAGGUUAAAGAUAUCGAAUGUCAGGUAAUGUUCAGCCUUACCGGCUGCUAUAUUUAUCUCCAUAAAAGACUGUACUGUAAUGAGUUCUGCAUGAUGUAAAGUUAUCUUUGUCUUGUUUACGCAAUACAUAUGUCUCAACACUGGUUCUUUGUUUCUUUUAUUCACUUGCUCUGUUUUUCUUUCUCUAAACUCAAUAAUGUCUAAAAAAAGGCAAAUUCAUUUGUGUUUUUAUACAAAUUUGGAAUCAUUUAGUGAAUUGUCUAAUAUGCUGCAAGUGUUUACAAUUUUACCCCAUACAGAAAAAGAAAAAAAAAAUGUUAGAGAGAUGAAUCUCUGAGACCCAGGUCAUAUUUUACUGUAACAUCAAAAGAAAGACGACAAAUUUUACUUUAGCUUUUAUAACUAUAUUUUUGGCAUAUUUUUUUCCCAUUAUUUUCAUGUCAUUAAAGAAAAAACAACUUUACAUUAGACUGCAUAAUUCAAUUCAAAUAGAAUGCAAAAAAAAAACCCAACAACAACAACAACAACAACAACAAAAAAAAAAAACAAUUGGCAUUACUGCAAUUCAUGAAAACAUUUAUAUUUAUAAACCAUGUUAUUGAGUGUUAUUGUACCUUAUACCUAAGUGUAUACCUAAGUGCUUUACUAUAUGAUUAUUUACAGUAUUGAAAUGAGUUACCCAAAAAUAAAUAUAAAUAAUAAUAUUAAAAAUGUAAAAUG
Cyprinus carpio (common carp) is the source of this 1619-nucleotide long non-coding RNA. The record is from Ensembl. Lineage: Eukaryota; Metazoa; Chordata; Actinopteri; Cypriniformes; Cyprinidae.